AUCCAAUGAUGGAUUAGAUUCAUAAUCUAAUACAUUUACGCUUCCAUUACGUUACUCUAAUUCUUCCUCAAUUAUUGAGGAAUCUAUCCUUUAGUAUUUCUUAAAUACUUAAGGACUUACUUGACAGUUGCCAUGAUUCUGAUCCUGGGCUUGCACUGAUAUCAUCUUGUACCGUUCUAGGUACAACUCAUAUCAAUGUUUUUCAUACAAUAUGAAAUACAUAAAUCACCUUUAUGCGUAUGCAUAAAGGAUUCUAUUUACACAUUAUUUCUUUGGGAGUCAAAGAGUACGUUCUCUUUGAGAAGAGCAACUUCUUAGUCUCACUAGAGUUGUCCUUCUAAUUGAAGUUUAUCAUCAUAUGAGAAACUUCCUAGCAUCUAUUGUCUAUUAUUAGGGAUUGAUAUAAUCCAAUUAUAUCAUGGAAUAUAUCAUUAUAGAUUUCCAUCCCAUGUAUAUAGACUAUAUCUCCCAUAUACAUUCUAUCUUCAUAUAAUGUUUUAAAGUCAUAACUUUAACGAAGAAGAAUUCUUUUCAUUUCCAAAAUUAAUAUAUCAUAUAUAUUAAAUUUUAGGAACAUGAUUAACUCCCAUAUACAUUCUAUCAUUAUAGAAUGUUUAAAGUCAUAACUUUAACGAAGAAGUAUUCUUUUCAUUUCCAAAAUUAAUAUAUCAUAUAUAUUUAA
Molecule: long non-coding RNA, 682 nt
Filed under: Malus domestica (apple)
Lineage: Eukaryota; Viridiplantae; Streptophyta; Magnoliopsida; Rosales; Rosaceae
Description: long non-coding RNA (MDOM_LNC011264)
Source: RNAcentral